This 488-nucleotide ribosomal RNA is filed under the name uncultured bacterium. RNAcentral describes it as "bacterial SSU rRNA". It matches the Rfam family "Bacterial small subunit ribosomal RNA", at positions 28 to 507 of the family's 1533-position model. The record is from RNAcentral.
GAUGAACGCUAGCGGCAGGCCUAACACAUGCAAGUCGAGGGGUAACAUAGAAAAGCUUGCUUUUCUGAUGACGACCGGCGCACGGGUGCGUAACGCGUAUACAACCUACCUUUUAGUCGGGGAAUAGCCCAGGGAAACUUGGAUUAAUGCCCCAUAGUAUAUAGACUUCUCCUGAAGUUUAUAUUAAACAUUUAUGGCUAUUAGAUGGGUAUGCGUCCUAUUAGUUAGUUGGUAAGGUAACGGCUUACCAAGGCAGCGAUAGGUAGGGGUCCUGAGAGGGAGAUCCCCACACUGGUACUGAGACACGGACCAGACUCCUACGGGAGGCAGCAGUGAGGAAUAUUGGACAAUGGGCGAGAGCCUGAUCCAGCCAUGCCGCGUGCAGGAAGACUGCCCUAUGGGUUGUAAACUGCUUUUACAGAGGAAGAACCACCCCCACGCGUGGGGGUUUGACGGUACUCUGCGAAUAAGGAUCGGCUAACUCCGUG